GCAGCGACGCCGCGUGGGGGAUGACGGCCUUCGGGUUGUAAACCCCUUUUCUAGAGGAAGAAAUCUGACGGUACUCUAGGAAUAAGUCUUGGCUAACUACGUGCCAGCAGCCGCGGUAAUACGUAGAAGGCGAACGUUAUCCGGAUUUACUGGGCGUAAAGCGGGUGUAGACGGUUUUCUAAGUCAGUCGUGAAAUCUCCCGACUCAAUCGGGAGACUGCAAUUGAUACUGGAGAGCUUGAGGGCAUCAGAAGAAAGCAGUAUUCACGGUGUAGCGGUGAAAUGCGUAGAUAUCGUGAGGAAUACCAGUGGCGCAAGCGGCUUUCUAGGAUGCUCCUGACGUUGAGGCCCGAAAGUGUGGGGAGCGAAACGGAUUAGAUACCCGUGUAGUCCACACCCUAAACGUUGAAUACUAGGUAUAGGGGGUAUCGACCCUCUCUGUGCCGAAGCUAACGCUUUAAGUAUUCCGCCUGGGGACUACGGUCACAAGGCUGAAACUCAAAGGAAUGGACGGA
Molecule: ribosomal RNA, 514 nt
Filed under: uncultured Chloroflexota bacterium
Lineage: Bacteria; Bacillati; Chloroflexota
Description: bacterial SSU rRNA
Rfam family: Bacterial small subunit ribosomal RNA
Source: RNAcentral